This 2480-nucleotide unclassified non-coding RNA is filed under the name Leishmania donovani. RNAcentral describes it as "gene:LdHU3.27.2470(CDS-product:eRF1_domain_1/eRF1 _domain_2/eRF1_domain_3_putative)". The record is from RNAcentral. Lineage: Eukaryota; Euglenozoa; Kinetoplastea; Trypanosomatida; Trypanosomatidae.
UCUUCCUCAUACUCCGGUUCUUUUCUUCCUUGUCCCCCUCCCCCUCCCCCUCCCCGUGUGUUGUGGUGCGUGGCCGCGCUCUACCCCUCCCCCCAUCCCCUGCCCCCCUGGCACAACGCGACUCCGCUUGAAAUCUUCGCUCCUCCGUUGUCAUCAUCGCUUCGCCCACCCAGCGAGACAGUUUAGGCCACCACCACCACCACCACCUUCCCCAAGCACAAUGUCCGGCGAGAAGGAGCUGACAGAUGCGGAGAAGACCAUUGAGCGGUACAAGGUCAAGAAGCUCAUUCAGAUGCUCGAAUCCGCGCGUGGUAUGGGUACUAGCGUGAUCAGCGUGUACAUGACGCCGAAGGAGCAGAUUGCCGGCAUGGUGGCGAAGCUCAACAACGAGUACGGCACGGCGUCGAACAUCAAGUCUCACACAAACAAGCUGAGCGUGCAGAGCGCCAUCACGGCAGCCCUUGGCCGCCUCAAACAGAUUCCGCGUGUGCCGGCGAACGGCCUGCUGCUGUACUCCGGCACCGUGAUGACGGCCGACAACAAGGAGAAAAAGCUGACGCUUGAUAUUGAGCCCUUCAAGGCCGUCAGCCGCAGCCUCUACCUGUGCGACAACAAAUUCCACACGGAAGAGCUGCGCCGCAUGCUCGAGUCGGACGACAAGUUCGGCUUCAUUAUCAUGGACGGUAGCGGCUCCACCUUUGCAACGGUGUGCGGAGAUGUCAAGGAGAAACUCGGCUCCUUCACGGUGGAGCUGCCGAAGAAGCACGGUCGUGGUGGUCAGAGUAAGAACCGUUUCGCGCGCAUCCGUAUGGAGCGGCGCCACAACUACGUACGCAAGGUGGCCGAGACGGCGGUCAGCUACUUCAUCACGAACGACCGCCCGAACGUGCGCGGUCUCGUGCUCGCCGGUUCAGCCGACUUCAAGGAGGUGCUCUUCCAAUCCGACCUCUUCGACCCUCGUCUAAAGGAGGUAGUGGUGAAGAUCGUCGAUGUGGCGCAUCCGGGUGAUGUGGGGCUGAAUCAGGCCAUCGACCUCUCCGCCGACGCUCUGUCCGGCGUCAAGCUGGUGCAAGAGAAGAAGCUGCUGCAAACGUUCUUCGACCAGAUCGCGAUGGACACGCAGCAGUACUGCUUCGGUGUAAAUGACACAAUGCGCUGCCUGGAAGCGGGUGCGGUGGAGACGCUCAUCUGUUUCGAGGACCUCCAGGUGAACCGGUACGUCAUCAUCAAGAACAAGGGCGCUGAGGACGAGGCGACCGAAAUUCACCUCCUCACCGAGGCAGAAGCGAACAAGAAGAACAUCCACGCCCACGAAGCUGGCAAGACGCAGAACGAGAUCGAGUCGGAGAAUUUUGUGGACUGGCUUGCCCAGAACUACCAAAAGUUCGGCUGCACCCUGGAGCUCAUCAGCGACCGUAGCCAGGAGGGCACGCAGCUCGUGCGCGGCUUCGGCGGCAUUGGCGGCAUCCUGCGCUACAAGAUGGACGUCAUGGCGCUCCGAGACCAUGAGAAAAAAGAGGAGGAUGACGAUCGCAUCGCCGCGAACAACGAGGAGUUCGACUUCGACGACGACUUCAUGUAAGCUUCAGCCCUUUGCCUCGUCUACCCUCUGAAGAGGGGGACGGACGGGCGCGUCAACGUAUGUGUGUGUGUGUGUGCGGUGCGUGGCGGUAGUUGCCACCAAAGAGGGGGCGUGGGACUGGGUGAUGAACGGCAGGAUCGAAGAGAAGGUGCUUGCUCAAUCUCUAUCUCUGUAUGUGACAGCCUGUGGCUCCCUCGCCUCUCUUCUUCUCGCCCGCGCACGGGCCGUACUCGACUCAUGGCUCUUCCGGCUGCUGUUUUGCGUUUGCACGCGUCAGGCGUGCUUGAUGCCGCGCUGUCGCCCUUCUUUCGACAUUGUGUGCAUGUGCGUGUCCACUUCUUCAUGCCCUCGCGCCUGUGUGCAGCUGUGCGCACUGGUGGGUCUUCCUUGUUGCUGGGUGUUGCGUGGGGGGUGGCGGUUCAGCGCCGACGGCGGCAUUCCUCCGUGUCUGCCACACAGCACGCACUUCAUCGUGCCCGCAUCUGUGUGUCAUCAUACGGUGCAAGACACCGAGGGGGUAAUGCAAGGGGGGCGAGGGAGAGGAGGGAUGGGAGAGAGAGGGGGGAAGAGGGGUCGCAGCCCGGAGGUUCUUUGCAAUCAACAAAGUGGAACACGAGUGCGAAGGGGGAAGAUGACGAAGCGCCCGUGACGAAGAGAAUGCGGCGAGACCGAACGCAAUACAAACGCGCGCUCGUCAUUCAUGAUGCUUCUCGUCACCGCCGCUCUCUCUCUGUAUGUUUUCCCUCCCUCCCUCCCCCAUCCGCUCGUGUCUUCAGUGCCAUUCAAUGUACUCUUCGAGUUUAAGGUGGUGAUUAACACAACAACGAAAAAGAAGGCAAUUAAUGAGUCUAACUAACGUGCUACUGCACGUGAGCGAAGUGCAAAGCCAUAAACAAGC